Molecule: microRNA precursor, 80 nt
Filed under: Chlorocebus sabaeus (green monkey)
Lineage: Eukaryota; Metazoa; Chordata; Mammalia; Primates; Cercopithecidae
Description: mir-4423 microRNA precursor family
Rfam family: mir-4423 microRNA precursor family
Source: Rfam by way of RNAcentral
AUCAUGUACUGCAGUCGCCUUUUUCUGCCUAUGCUGGUCAAGCCUAGCAUAGGCACCAAAAAGCAAAAACAGUAUGUGAA